Molecule: long non-coding RNA, 1282 nt
Filed under: Homo sapiens (human)
Lineage: Eukaryota; Metazoa; Chordata; Mammalia; Primates; Hominidae
Description: long non-coding RNA NONHSAT212714.1
Source: RNAcentral
UCUUGCACACGGUGGAAGCUUUGUUUUUUAGCUCUUUGUAGUAAAUCUUGCUGCUGCUCGUUGUUUGGGUCCACAGUGUCUUUAUGAGCUGUAACACUCACUGCGAAGGUCUGCAGCUUCACUCCUGAGGCCAGCAAGACCACGAACCCACGGGGAGGAAUGAACAACUCCCCACGGGAGGAACGAACAACUCCCCACACCUUAAAAGCUGUAACACUCACCGGGAAGAUCUGCAGCUUCACUCUUGAAGCCAGUGAGACCACGAACCCACCAGAAGAAACUUCGAAUACGUCCGAACGUCAGAAGGAACAAACUCCAGACACACCAUCUUUAGGAACUGUAACACUCACGGAAGUAUAUGUGUCGGAAGAGGUUGCAAGCGACAACACCAGAUGGCUCCCGUAAGAAUGCAUGAGUGGGAGGAGAGGAGGCAACGUUUGGUGACCAGCAGAAACAGAGAUUGAUAGACUCUUUGAUAGAAUUGGAAUUAGGCAUAAUUCUUCAGGAGUGCACCUGGGAUGCAUGGCAAAGUUUAUCCUCACAGGCUUCCCUCCCUGGCUGGUAUCAACCAUGUAUGAGGAACAGGUGGAGUUCUCCUUGUCCAGGCCUGACACCCAGGCUUACUGUGGAAUUAAAGAGCUGUGGACAGUAGCUGCUCAAAAGGAAGGUGACAGGUGAGUUCCUGAACAUCCAGAUUGUCAACAGCCAAAGACAAGAUGGCCACCUGGAAGAGGAGCUGGGGGACAGUUCUGGACAAAUUCAAGUCAGGUUUGCUGGCUUUUCCACCAUGGGCAGAUGAUGCCACAGAGAGGGGUUAUCAGUGAGCAGUACCAUGCAACAUGCAGUGCAGCAGAAACAACAGCUAAGAAAAGACAUUUCCUCAUGAUUAAUUUCAGACCAUACAUCUUUGGCAAGAGUUUCACAGAAACUUCUCAUCGCAUCUUAUCAGGCGGCACACGAUUCUGUUUUGUCUUGGAAUGAAGGAUGCUGACUUUGAUCACUUGCUUGCCGUAGUGUCUGCCAGCCGUCUCCACCAUCAAGCUACUCUUUUCUUCUUUGAGGGUGUGGCUGUGCUAGGAAAGAGACUUGGCCCACAGCCUCACAGUGAUUCAGAAGACGCUGGGUGAGGACCUCUGUGUCCCUGCUCCAAGGACCCUGAGAUGACCCAUCCCAGGACACUCAAUCCUGCCUGCAGAUGCUAGGCUCUGAGGAGAUGCCUGCUAUAGCACCAGCACAUUCUGCAGACAUGUUUUGAAAUGUGUUAAUAAAUAACUGGAGAACA